Molecule: long non-coding RNA, 1081 nt
Organism: Mercenaria mercenaria
Lineage: Eukaryota; Metazoa; Mollusca; Bivalvia; Venerida; Veneridae
Exons: 5
Source: RefSeq, a predicted model, not a curated record
AAUUGUUUCCCUUUGAAAUCAACACGCCAUUAUCGAUGGAUACAUGUCUGAAACUGGGUCAGAGAAUACAUGCAGUUAUUGCUCUGAAUAUACGCGGAUAUUUAAAGUGCAUGGCGGAUUUAAUAAUUGUUGUGGAUAACCUCCAGCAGUAAGAAAUAUAAAGGCUCACUGCAGUUUUGAGUGCUCAACAAGUAUUGACCCCAUACUAUGCUCAGCAAGUAGGGCCCUUGUAUUUCUGUGAAUCCUCAUGCAGUACAGUACUGCUGUUGGAAGAGGAGCAAACAGUGUGGUAUCUAUGGUCCACCAUCACUUCAAGCAUCAUGGCUAUGGAGAAAAGAAUGUUUCAUUACAUAUGGACAAUUAUAGUGGACAAAAUAGGAAAAGUGUUGUAAUAAGCUAUGGAAUGUGGCUUGUUAUGAUGGGUCUACAUGAUGACUUGGAGUACAACCUGAUUGAGGCCCGGCAUACAGAAUUCAGUCCUGAACAUGUUUAGAAUGUCUUCUGCAUGACCUGGUAUAGAUAGUAUUCUUGAAGGAUUAUAACUUCAACACAGAGACGGAGAUUAAUAUUUUAGGCAGGGAGUUUGGCAUGACAGGCAAAUUCACCAACCGUAUUAUCAUUCCUGAGCUGGAUGCCAGUCGACAGUGGUACCUGUAUAAUGAAAUAGCGCCCCUUUGCAGCAACAGCAAUGUAUGCUCAAAACCAGCAGUGUCAAAGCCAUUAAAAUUGAUAAUUCAAGUCAUUUAAAACGAAGAAUGAAUGGAAAAAAGUGUUUAACAUUUAAAGUAAUACAGAGAAAGAGCUCUGAAAUUUUGAUUAAUUUGAAAGUGUUUUUGAUUUUUUGAAGAUGUACUAGACCCAAAUUCCAUAUAUUUGAAAAAGAACAAAUGAUACAUAUAGUUUAUGUAAACAUUGAACUAACAACUUUAUGGUGUCAACAGUACUAUGCAUUUGUUAAAUAUUGACUCACUAUAUACAUGUAAGGCUGAACACAGUAUAAAUGUGAAAUUCCUCUAAAACACUGGAGGAUUUUUCAACAAUAAUUGUAACAUAUAUGGUAGUAAUGUACAUUUGUUUUCAU